RNAcentral lists this transfer RNA (75 nucleotides) under Candidatus Liptonbacteria bacterium RIFCSPLOWO2_01_FULL_52_25. RNAcentral describes it as "tRNA-Cys". It matches the Rfam family "tRNA". Rfam says of the family: Transfer RNA (tRNA) molecules are approximately 80 nucleotides in length. Their secondary structure includes four short double-helical elements and three loops (D, anti-codon, and T loops). The record is from RNAcentral. Lineage: Bacteria; Candidatus Liptoniibacteriota.
GGCCACGUAGCCAAGUGGUAAGGCGAGGGUCUGCAAAACCCUUAUUCGCGGGUUCGAUUCCCGCCGUGGCCUCCA